This is an RNA transcript of Drosophila elegans, 2290 nucleotides long. It is a transcript of the gene named tetraspanin-13, with no coding region annotated. The record is from RefSeq and is a predicted model, not a curated record. The transcript is spliced from 5 exons. Lineage: Eukaryota; Metazoa; Arthropoda; Insecta; Diptera; Drosophilidae.
CCAUCUCUAGCAGAUAUUGAAAGUGAAAACUGUCGACGGAAUAAAUUUAAUUAGCUAAACUUUUUCAAAAAACAACAUAUUUAUCAGUCACCAAGAGUAAACUAAACACUAAAAUGUGCGGGGGUUUUACCUGCUCGAAAAACGCGCUAAUUGCGCUCAACAUUUUGUAUGUGAUGAUUGGGUUCCUGCUGAUUGGAGUGGGCGUGUACGCCCGUGCCGCCUCCAUCGUGACCAACCUGCCGAUUGUGGGCGGGAUCCUCGCUUGCGGCGUCAUCCUCAUCUGCAUAUCCAUGCUGGGACUGGCAGGAGCCGUCAAGCACCACCAAGUGAUGCUCUUCUUCUACAUGAUCAUUCUGUUCAUGCUGUUCCUGAUCCAGUUCUCCAUUGCCAGUUCCUGUUUGGCCGUCAAUUCCGAGCAACAGCAGCAGUUCGCCGAACAAGGAUGGAUGACGGUGCCCACGGAGUUGCGCAAACACGUGCAGGACAGUCUGAAAUGCUGCGGAUUCAAUGCCACUGGACCGAGCACAAGUUCCGUUGUGCCCCCACCAGAUGAACCCUCGUGUGAGCGGAUCAAUCUGCAGUGCUGUGCCCACUCCUCAGAGGCGGACUGUCGUUGCGAACCAUGCGGCCCCCUGCUGGAGGACAAGAUCGACUACGCCUUCAAGCUGUGCGGCGGUCUGGGCAUUUUCUUCAGCUUCACUGAGUUCGUUGGCGUCUGGCUAACAGUACGCUAUCGCAAUCAGAAGGAUCCGCGUGGCUUGCCCAGCGCCUUUCUCUAAAUUGAACGCUAGUCGAGAACAAGAAAAACAUUUCCCAGAUACAGAAACAUCCAAAAUUAUUUAGUGCAUGUAUCUCUGCUCUGUCUCUGCUAAAUGUUUGGUGUUGCGAUUGAAGAUUUCAUGAGCUCUUGGGGCCCACAUACCAUAUAUACAAGCAUCCUUUAUAUUUAUACCAUCUACAGAUACAUUAUACAUAUAUAUUUAAUCACAUUGCCGCAGAACUAUGUACGUAAUGUGUUAGUUCGUAAUUGAUAUACAACUUUAGACAUAUAUACAUAUUAUAGAGAGAUAUAUAUAGGAUGAGAGAGCUACGUGUUUAACCCAUAUAUACGGACCCGAAAGCAAGCAAUCAGCAAAGAAACAUAUUUCCAUUUACUCUCAACACACUUUCUUUAACACUUCCCAAACGAAAAUUAAACUCACUUUUGACUGCCUUCUCUUUGACUAAGCAUAAACUCAACAAGUGGCCAAGGGUCUUGGCCGUUUUCCUGGCGCGUCGCUACCGCAAUCAGCACGAUCCCUGUUAUCUUCCUGCCCGCGCCGUUUUUCCGCACGAUUACUUAUAUUGAAUGGGCUGAACACUGCAUCCUGGAAGUGAAACAUUUUAGUCAAAGGGACGAAGGCUGAAUUUUUAUUUUUACAACGCGUUUCCUAGCAAAAAUCGAAUCCAAACUCGAACAAGAGAUUAAUCUCCGGAGAAGGAGAAAAUGGAGGAGGAGUUUUAAAUGUGCUCAACACUGCUGCUAUUUAAGAACAAAUUCAUUUUACCACAAUAUUUACUUUAAUUGCACAAAGUUAAUUAAUUUUUAAAAACUCCAAUUGAGAUUAUGUUUAGCUGUAAUAUUGUAAUUUAAGUUUGAAACACCUUAGUUAGCUCUUAAUGCCUUCUUUUGCAACUCGCAACAAUCAUAAACGACUCGACGUGACUUGACUUUAAACUACUGUACCACUACGAGACAAACAUUUCAACAACCUGAUCUUAAUGUAGGACUUACAACAAAGUCAACAAUUGUAACUAGCAACGUAAUAAGUAUACAUCAACCUAUAUACAAACGUAAUUGCAUUAUUGCCCAGAAGGCGUAUAAACGAUACUCUAAAUGUUAGUUGUGUGUUAAACUUUAAACUAGCGAAAAAAAAUGGACACAAAAUAACAAAAAAAAAAGAGUAACCCUCUAAGCAUACAUGUCAACAAUUAUACAAGUCUAUAUUGAUAAACCUACACAUAAGAAAACUGCUUCUUCGAAAUUUUCACUACUUUUCCGCACUUGCUCGACUUUCUCUGCAGCUUUUCCUUCUCGACUUUUACCCUCGCAACAAGCCACCAAGAACAAAAACAAACACAUCUCUUGCCCGACGCACCUCUUCCUCUUUGCACACAUCACACUGAAAUGGAAAUAGUUUUCCCCGCAGUUUCCUUUCCAGUUUCUUUUCGAGCGACAAAUAAACCAUUAGAUAAUAUUCUCUGUAUUCUGUGCUGUGAUUGAAGUAAAUAUGAUCUUUAAAAAACAAAA